GUAGAGGUGCCAGAAUUUUAUGGAAUUAAUUUAGGUUUAAUUUAUGACUUUAAGUCUCUCUAUU
RNAcentral lists this transfer RNA (64 nucleotides) under Taenia arctos. RNAcentral's name for it is "tRNA-Leu (CUN)". Lineage: Eukaryota; Metazoa; Platyhelminthes; Cestoda; Cyclophyllidea; Taeniidae. The record is from RNAcentral.